GGGGAGAGCAAGCAUGACCUCUCCUGAGUCACAGGAUACCUUAUAAGAAGCAGGCAUCUCUUCUGGGUCACAGUUUGCUAUGGAAACUUUUCCACAAAUGUGAUAUUCAGGGCACUGCUUUGGAAUUCACCAUGAGAGAAUAAAGGACUGAAUGUAGAAUAUGUGGAACCUUUCACCGAGGCUCAGACCACUUCACAAUAACAAUGGCUAUCUCAGGCUCAGUCCACCUGGAGCAUGGGCUGGCAUCAUGUCAAUGGUGGGAAUGCUGAGUAGCUGCCUUGAGGUA
RNAcentral lists this long non-coding RNA (286 nucleotides) under Homo sapiens (human). RNAcentral describes it as "HSALNT0069048". Lineage: Eukaryota; Metazoa; Chordata; Mammalia; Primates; Hominidae. The record is from RNAcentral.